CCCCUAGAUGUUCUGGGCCGCACGCGCGCUACACUGAACAGUUCAACAAGUCUUAACCUUGGCCGAUAGGCCUGGGCAAUCUUUGAACGCCAGUCGUGAUGGGGAUAGAUUCUUGCAAUUUUUGAUCUUCAACGAGGAAUUCCUAGUAAACGCGAGUCAUCAACUCGCAUUGAUUACGUCCCUGCCCUUUGUACACACCGCCCGUCGCACCUACCGAUUGAAUGGUCCGGUGAACCCUCCGGAUCGGCUCGCGCCAACGCAAGUUGAGCAAAGGCCGAGAAGUUGGGUAAACCUUACCAUUUAGAGGAAGGUGAAGUCGUAACA
RNAcentral lists this ribosomal RNA (324 nucleotides) under uncultured eukaryote. RNAcentral describes it as "partial 18S ribosomal RNA". It matches the Rfam family "Eukaryotic small subunit ribosomal RNA", at positions 1470 to 1796 of the family's 1831-position model. The record is from RNAcentral.